UCUUUUAAACCUUGCGAUCUAUGAGACAGAUGAUGUAAAGGUCACCUAUUUCUGUAACACAAUUGCGUUGAAAUCAAAAUAUUAAGAAAAAAGAAUAAUAUAUAUGUUUAUGUUUUAAUUGUUAUCACAUCGUCAUGAGACUACAUUUUGUUUUUAACAUCGCUAUAAAAAUAUUUUUAAAAGAUAUAAAAUUAUAUAUAUAACUCAUUCAAUAAAAAGUUGUAACAUAAUUGUAUUUUAACCAAAAUGUAUUUUUAUUAAGAAAAUAAUAACAAAUAAAUCGUAAAGUUCCCCUUUCAGACCGUCUUAUCUAUUGGGCAGAUAAUCUAAAGAUCAUCUGUUCUGCUUCUCUGGCCUACGCUUAACGAGUGUGUCAUGUGACAGUAGAACGACCAACCACCUUUACUUUUCACAACUGAUGGAUAGACAACGAGGCGCACUGAAAUUCCAAAAAUUAAAAAUCCUAGUCUUCACUAGCAUUCGAGCCCUGAACCCACUGGUUCU
This is a non-coding RNA of Biomphalaria pfeifferi, 504 nucleotides long. Lineage: Eukaryota; Metazoa; Mollusca; Gastropoda; Planorbidae. The record is from the annotation of a GenBank genome assembly.